GUUUUACCUUGACGAAUUGUAGUUUAAAGAAGUGUUUUCUGUUGAAGUUUUGGUAGAAGUUCUUUGGAAUAGGACAUCAUAGAGGGUGAGAAUCCCGUAUUUGACCAUUAUUUUCAGCUGUGUGAUACACUUUCAAAGAGUCGGAUUGUUUGGGAAUGCAGUCCAAAAUGGGUGGUAAAUUUCAUCUAAAGCUAAAUAUUGGCGAGAGACCGAUAGCGAACAAGUACCGUGAGGGAAAGAUGAAAAGAACUUUGAAAAGAGAGUUAAACAGUACGUGAAAUUGUCAAAAGGGAAGCGUUUGACACCAGUGUUGUUUUCUCGAAAAUCAAUUAAAAAAAGUUGGAUUUUGUGUUGUAUUGACCUUAACAGCUUUCUGCACUCUUUUCCUGCUUUUUUU
RNAcentral lists this ribosomal RNA (397 nucleotides) under uncultured Neocallimastigomycetes. RNAcentral's name for it is "eukaryotic LSU rRNA". It matches the Rfam family "Eukaryotic large subunit ribosomal RNA", at positions 127 to 521 of the family's 3401-position model. Lineage: Eukaryota; Fungi; Neocallimastigomycota; Neocallimastigomycetes. The record is from RNAcentral.